UUUGUUGAGCUUUUGUAAUGAUGAAAUGAUAUAUAUAUUUUGAUACUUGAUUAUUUUAUGAUUUUAUUGUGUGUGGCUGUUGGGAUUCUUACUGGGCUGGAAAAGCUCAUACUACACUUCCAUUUUUUUUUCAGAGGCACUGGAUUCGUAGAAUCUGUCGGAUGGGACAAGAAGUGAGCUCGAACUGGAGUCAGACUGCUAGAUAGUUAGAAGUCAAUUUAUCUUUUAUUUAUGGACAUUUGAAUUUAUGUAAUCAUUCAGUACAUUUUGGUUGGAUUUGAUUGAAUUACAUUAAUCAUUGAUUUUGGUAUUUAUGAAAAUAUUGGAAUUAUUGGAAUUGUUGUACCUUUUAGGCCUUGCAUGAUCUUUAGGGCACUGCUCUAGGGCUCAUGCGGCCGGUCGCGUGCCGGACCCGGGUGAUGGGUUCGGGGCGUGACAGAGUGGUAUCAGAGCUUAAGGUUAAGGUAUCCUAGGGUUUAUGUUCAGGUGAGUAUCAGUGAAGAAUUAUGAUAGAAAAACUAUCAGAGAUUUAGUUUAUAAUCACUUGAGAUUGUAACAAGAAUGAUAUUAUAAUCUAAGGUUUAAGACCACUAGGGACUGUGGCCUUAGUGGCAUUAAAGUUUGAGGUUUAAGAUAAUUGGAAAAUGUGACCAGUUGGAAUCUAAGCAUAUGUUUAAGAUCACUAGGGAUCGUGACAGAAAUAUAUCAUAGCUUAAGGCUNN
Molecule: long non-coding RNA, 722 nt
Filed under: Phoenix dactylifera (date palm)
Lineage: Eukaryota; Viridiplantae; Streptophyta; Magnoliopsida; Arecales; Arecaceae
Description: long non-coding RNA (PDAC_LNC006633)
Source: RNAcentral